AAUUUUGGCAGGCCGGGAUUGUGGUGACCUUUUGUUACCUGGUCUUUGCUCCCACUGCUUUGUUCUUCAGGCUUUUAGUUCCUUCUAGGCUGAUUUAGCUCAAAUAGGAUUGAGAGCCAACCCAGCCAGUGGCUAAUGCUCCGUGUCCUCGGGAUGCAGUUGGAAACCAGAAGCGGGCAGCCAGGCCAGCCUGGAGGUCUGAGUUGUGCAGCUCCUGUAGGAUAUACUGGUAUCUGGUGUUGUUUCCCACUGGUCUCAUUGGAGCCUGAUCCCAGCUUUGUUUCUGCCCUGUGGUCGGCCAGGACCCGGUUCUCCAGACUGCUGUGAGUAGUAUGUGAUCACCGAGUUGGGGAUGUCUCAGUUUUGGGCUGCUCUCCUGUCCUUGCUGAGGCUUCUUUAUGUGCAUUGUCUUCUCUAGGGAGGAGGUGAGGAAGAGUGCUGACAUGCUG
RNAcentral lists this long non-coding RNA (449 nucleotides) under Numida meleagris (helmeted guineafowl). RNAcentral describes it as "lncRNA (ENSNMEG00000002765.1)". Lineage: Eukaryota; Metazoa; Chordata; Aves; Galliformes; Numididae. The record is from RNAcentral.